This 505-nucleotide ribosomal RNA is filed under the name uncultured bacterium. RNAcentral describes it as "bacterial SSU rRNA". It matches the Rfam family "Bacterial small subunit ribosomal RNA", at positions 29 to 507 of the family's 1533-position model. The record is from RNAcentral.
AACGAACGCUGGCGGCGUGCCUAACACAUGCAAGUCUGACGGGAAAGCUUCCUUCGGGGGGCAAGUACCGUGGCGAACGGGUGAGUAACACGUGGGUAACCUACCCUCGGGACAGGGAUAACCUUGCGAAAGCGAGGCUAAUACCUGAUAAGACCACGUCCCGCAUGCGGGAUGCGGUAAAAGGUGGCCUCUUCAUGAAAGCUACCACCUGAGGAUGGGCCCGCGGCCUAUUAGCUUGUUGGUAGGGUAACGGCCUACCAAGGCGACGAUGGGUAGCCGGCCUGAGAGGGUGUACGGCCACACUGGCACUGAGACACGGGCCAGACUCCUACGGGAGGCAGCAGUGGGGAAUUUUGCGCAAUGGGGGAAACCCUGACGCAGCAACGCCGCGUGAGUGAUGAAGGCCUUCGGGUCGUAAAGCUCUUUUAGUGGGGAAGAAACGCUCCAGGGUAAAUAAUCCUGAGGUCUGACGGUACCCACAGAAAAAGUUCCGGCUAACUACGUG